GUCGUUCAAGACCAGGACGUUGAUAGGCUGGGUGUGGAAGCGCAGCAAUGCGUUAAGCUAACCAGUACUAAUUGCUCGUGCGGCUUGACCUUAUAACCUU
This 100-nucleotide ribosomal RNA is filed under the name Candidatus Allofontibacter lacus. RNAcentral describes it as "partial 23S ribosomal RNA". It matches the Rfam family "Bacterial large subunit ribosomal RNA", at positions 2834 to 2925 of the family's 2925-position model. Lineage: Bacteria; Pseudomonadati; Pseudomonadota; Alphaproteobacteria; Candidatus Pelagibacterales; Candidatus Pelagibacteraceae. The record is from RNAcentral.